This 538-nucleotide long non-coding RNA is filed under the name Elaeis guineensis (African oil palm). RNAcentral's name for it is "long non-coding RNA (EGUI_LNC078171)". The record is from RNAcentral. Lineage: Eukaryota; Viridiplantae; Streptophyta; Magnoliopsida; Arecales; Arecaceae.
AGCUUUACAGUAGUCUUUUAGUAUUGAAACUUACUAUUUCUUUCAAUUAUUCUUAAGAUUCUUUGCAUUUUUGGACUUCAUGAUUGAGUUAUUUUUCAAUUUUGUUUUCCAAUCUUCUGAGUUCUAACAGUUAGGGCUUUUGAAGGGUUUACCUUGAGAUUUGUAUGUUAGUUCAGAAUUUUAAUUUUUUUUGGAAGCUUUUAGUAUAAAGGACCUAGACCAUUGUUGAAAUUGUUGAUGAAGAUAAAUUCCUACUUCUAAUCUCAAAUAGCUGGAGAAUCGCUUGACUAUUAUGUUUAAUAUAAUUCUAACCGAGUUUCUUGAUGAGAUGAUUCUUUUGGAUUUUUUUUAAAUUUAAAAACAGAUAUGCUAUCGAUAGAGUUACUGAGCUCCAAGUCUUUUGACUUGAAGCUAGGGUCUAUUUAUUUAUUUAUUUUUUUUUAAUUUCUUUAUUUCAUCUCAAAUAACAAAUCUUGGUUAUCUAUGUCUAUGGUACAUAUUGAUUUUGCUGUGAGAUGUGAUAUGCAACAUAAUGGCU